ACGACAAACUCUUUUGAGUGGCCCUUAAGAUGUCUUCUAACCUAGUCUCAACAUAACUUUCUUGUGAUCCUGCCCAUUCACCCUCCCUGACACUCUCCCUGUGCCAUUUUCUUUCCAGCCUCUGCACCUUUGCACACCUUGCUCUGUCUAGAAUGCUCUCUCUCCCUCCUCCCCCUCACUCUCCUCUGUCAAACUCCUCCUCCUCCAAGGUUCACUUAAAUGUUACCUCUUAGAGAGCCCUUACCAGCUUCCUCAAGCAGGUUAAUCCCUAUAUCCUGAAGAAGAACAUGAUCCUCAUGACAAAUCAUUUCUAUGCAGCGAUCUUGGGAUAUGAUGAGGGGAUCCUUUCAGAUGAUCAUGGGCUGGCCGCUGCCCUCUGGAGAACCUUCUUCAACCGGAAAUGUGAAGACCCUCGACAUCUUGAAUUGCUGGUAGAGUAUGUGAGGAAACAGAUACAGUACCUGGACUCCAUGAACGGGGAGGAUCUGCUUCUGACAGGGGAGGUGAGCUGGCGCCCUCUAGUGGAGAAGAAUCCUCAGAGCAUCCUGAAG
Molecule: small RNA, 551 nt
Filed under: Pongo abelii (Sumatran orangutan)
Lineage: Eukaryota; Metazoa; Chordata; Mammalia; Primates; Hominidae
Description: processed transcript
Source: RNAcentral